AUACGUAGGGGGCGAGCGUUGUCCGGAAUUAUUGGGCGUAAAGGGCGCGUAGGCGGCCCGGUAAGUCUGGAGUGAAAGUCCUGUUUUUAAGAUGGGAAUUGCUUUGGAUACUGUCGGGCUUGAGUGCAGGAGAGGUAAGUGGAAUUCCCAGUGUAGUGGUGAAAUGCGUAGAGAUUGGGAGGAACACCAGUGGCGAAGGCGACUUACUGGACUGUAACUGACGCUGAGGCGCGAAAGUGUGGGGAGCAAACAGGAUUAGAUACCCUGGUAGUCCACACUGUAAACGAUGAAUGCUAGGUGUAGGGGGUAUCGACCCCUUCUGUGCCGCAGUCAACACAAUAAGCAUUCCGCCUGGGGAGUACGGCCGCAAGGUUGAAACUCAAAUGAAUUGACGGGG
RNAcentral lists this ribosomal RNA (397 nucleotides) under uncultured bacterium. RNAcentral describes it as "partial 16S ribosomal RNA". It matches the Rfam family "Bacterial small subunit ribosomal RNA", at positions 523 to 918 of the family's 1533-position model. The record is from RNAcentral.